UCCUUGGUGGCUCAGAUGGUAAAGCGUCUGCCUGCAGUGCAGGAGACCCGGGUUUGAUCCCUGGGUUGGGAA
This 72-nucleotide transfer RNA is filed under the name Bos taurus (domestic cattle). It matches the Rfam family "tRNA". From Rfam's summary of the family: Transfer RNA (tRNA) molecules are approximately 80 nucleotides in length. RNAcentral also lists the same sequence under 2 other names. The record is from Rfam by way of RNAcentral. Lineage: Eukaryota; Metazoa; Chordata; Mammalia; Artiodactyla; Bovidae.